CUUGACCGAGCCCAGCCACAGCGGCUCUCCCUCGGGUCGCUCCCGGCCGUAGGUGGCCAGCAGCGCCUGGGCCUC
This 75-nucleotide antisense RNA is filed under the name Streptomyces cyaneogriseus subsp. noncyanogenus. RNAcentral's name for it is "ASpks TB sRNA". It matches the Rfam family "ASpks TB sRNA". The record is from Rfam by way of RNAcentral. Lineage: Bacteria; Bacillati; Actinomycetota; Actinomycetes; Kitasatosporales; Streptomycetaceae.